Molecule: ribosomal RNA, 253 nt
Filed under: uncultured bacterium
Lineage: Bacteria
Description: partial 16S ribosomal RNA
Rfam family: Bacterial small subunit ribosomal RNA
Source: RNAcentral
UACGGAGGGUGCAAGCGUUAUCCGGAAUCAUUGGGUUUAAAGGGUCCGUAGGCGGGCUGAUAAGUCAGUGGUGAAAUGCAGGGGCUCAACUCCGGCACUGCCAUUGAUACUGUUAGUCUUGAAUUAUUGUGAAGUGGCUAGAAUAUGUAGUGUAGCGGUGAAAUGCUUAGAUAUUACAUAGAAUACCGAUUGCGAAGGCAGGUCACUAACAAUACAUUGACGCUGAGGGACGAAAGCGUGGGUAGCGAACAGG